GAACGCGAAAGUUCUCUUCGGAGGAUGAGUAGAGUGGCGCACGGGUGAGUAACACGUAGGUAAUCUGCCUUUGGGUGGGGAAUAACAGCCGGAAACGGCUGCUAAUACCGCAUAAUGCAGCGGCAUCACAUGAUGACAGUUGUUAAAGCGGGGGAUCUCGCAAGAGACCUCGCGCCUGAAGAGGAGCCUGCGGCAGAUUAGCUAGUUGGUGAGGUAAAGGCUCACCAAGGCUGUGAUCUGUAGCCGGCCUGAGAGGGCGGUCGGCCACACUGACACUGACAUACGGGUCAGACUCCUACGGGAGGCAGCAGUCGGGAAUUUUGGGCAAUGGGCGAAAGCCUGACCCAGCAACGCCGCGUGAAGGAUGAAAUCCCUCGGGAUGUAAACUUCGCAAGAAUGGGAAGAAUAAGUCUGAGCUAAUAACUCAGAUGAUGACGGUACUAUUUGUAAGCUCCGGCUAACUCCGUGCCAGCAGCCACGGUAAUACGGGGGGAGCAAGCGUUGUUCGGAUUUACUGGGCGUAAAGGGCGCGUAGGCGGCCACAACAAGUCACUUGUGAAAUCUCCGGGCUUAACUCGGAACGGUCAAGUGAUACUGUUGGGCUAGAGUGCGGAAGGGGCAACUGGAAUUCUCGGUGUAGCGGUGAAAUGCGUAGAUAUCGAGAGGAACACCUGCGGCGAAGGCGGGUUGCUGGGCCGACACUGACGCUGAGGCGCGAAAGCUAGGGGAGCGAACGGGAUUAGAUACCCCGGUAGUCCUAGCCUUAAACGAUGGAUGCUUGGUGUCUGGGGUUAUAAAGUCCCCGGGUGCCGUC
This 814-nucleotide ribosomal RNA is filed under the name uncultured Bacillota bacterium. Its description in RNAcentral is "bacterial SSU rRNA". It matches the Rfam family "Bacterial small subunit ribosomal RNA", at positions 64 to 850 of the family's 1533-position model. The record is from RNAcentral. Lineage: Bacteria; Bacillati; Bacillota.